UCUCUCCUUUCCCACUCAGCCCCUCACCCCGACUCCCCUCUCUCUUCCUCCCGCCCCUCUCGCCGCCAUGCCUCCGCCUGCUGCAGCCGUCGCUGGUCUCGCGCCUCCCUCAGCCGCCGUCGCCUAUGCCUGUCCCGCGCCUCCCUCCGCCGCUCGCGCCGCCGCUUCCCCGUCGAGCUUCACGUCCUCGGGAGGAGAGGAAGCUAGCACUGCUCUUCCCGAGGGACGCGCCGUCGUGCCAUCGACAGGAGACGGCCAGGCAGAGCGCGCCGUCGCCACCGGCUGGCGCGUCGAUGGGAGGAGGCCAGGGUUAGGGUGCUCUCCUCCUCGCGCCUGUGGAUCUCCUGGCGCUGCGGGCUGCCGGAGCUGAAGCUUCUCCUCGCGCCGCAGCUGCCGGGCUCAAAUCUCCUGCACCUUGCAUCGCCGGCUGAUUGACUCAGAGCUCAUCCACCUCGCGCCCCCGAGCACUACUGCUUCCUCCUCCCUCGAUCUGAUCCUGCAACCUCCUGGUCAGCAGUGUCAUGGAGCCGGAUGAGGUCUCCCACCGUGUAGCUUGGAUGGAAUCUCCAGCAGAUCAGUGGCCAGAAUGACAUGCAGUAAAUGGUUCAGGUUUGAGCAAGGAAUGCAAAACUCUAGGAUUGAGCCCGUGCUGGUCUAUAUUUUAUAUUGGUUUUUGCACCCUGCAGCCAGUGAUUCAUGGAUCGUUUUGAGCUGGUGAGCGACUUGCACUUCUUGAAUCUACUAACAAACCAGCAAAGGUGCACAUCCAUGCAAACCAGAUUGAGCAUAAGACACUGGCUGAGCUCUGUGCAAUGAGACCAUACCGGUUUUGCUUGAAGGUUUCGGAUGCACUGUUGUCAUAAAAAUAUGGUCCCUGUGGAGUCAUGGUGGUUUGUUGCCUGCAAUAGAUGUGGCAAAAAAUCUUUGCCACAUGGAGCUGGCUACUACUGCACUGCAUGUGGAUACAGAGGAAAGAAGUUUAGAAAAUACCAAAGGAAGACUCGUGGGAGUAUGGUUUGGCGAGCAGAGCUUUACUAGGACUGAGUAUGACGAACAAGCAUGGAGGCAAGAAAUUUCUUCUGAAAAUAGGCCUUGAGGACCAGGAGUCCAGGACCGUGAGACUCUUUUGGUACUGUUUCUUGGCAGUGACAGGUCGCUGUCUAUCAUCUCUCUCUCUCUGGCUGCCCCUCCUUCCAUUGACUUGGCAUGCUGGUCACCGCUGUGUCUCCCGAUGGCUCGUCCCUCGCCAUCGUCGGGAGGGUCGUGUGGGCCGUUCUACAUUGGAAUCCAUAUAACUUUGAAAAGGUCACCACUGUGCCGUCUCUCUCUCUCUCUCUCUCUGACCGCCCCUCCCAUCGUCUUGGUUUGCUGGUUGCCGCUGUGUCCCCUGCCGGUUCGCCCGUCGCCAUCGCUAGAAGGGUCGUGUAGGCCGCCGCUUAUGCCACUGCUCUGCAGUGACCAGUGAGGACCAUGGCAUCGAGACAGCCCAAAAGGGAAACACCGCCGGCCACAGCGCCGGUGGACCCUGUCUGCCGGCAACUGGAUACCGCCGCCGCGGCCACUGCUGUUAUCGCCCUCCCUGCCACCCCACGCUACCCUGCCAAACAGGCCCAGCUUGCAGGCACUGUCAACCUGAUGGAUGGUGAUGAUUUAAUAGUCAAGGGGCUUCCACAGGAUGCGUAGAUAGAGAUGACAUUGCUCAAAGGAAAGAUACCGUACAUGGCCGUGUUGAAGGAGUUGUGGCCUCUUGUCUCUGCCUCAAAUGUCGAUGAUGCCUCUAUGUACUAUCACUCCUAUGCCCUUUUUAUUUUGUUUGUUCAGUGAAUGUUGGAAUAAACGAUUUAUUCAGCUGGAUCUAUACAACUAUGAACUAUUUGUGCAAUCUUUUAUUUAAGCUUUGAAAUGAGGGAAUUAAAUGUUGGGUUUGGGCAAUGUCCUUCCAUGUUUUUUGUUGGUGUUCGAUUAUUGGUAUGAAUCUCCUUG
Molecule: ribosomal RNA, 1983 nt
Filed under: Triticum aestivum (bread wheat)
Lineage: Eukaryota; Viridiplantae; Streptophyta; Magnoliopsida; Poales; Poaceae
Description: partial small subunit ribosomal RNA
Source: RNAcentral